Molecule: non-coding RNA, 2318 nt
Organism: Heterocephalus glaber (naked mole-rat)
Lineage: Eukaryota; Metazoa; Chordata; Mammalia; Rodentia; Bathyergidae
Source: RefSeq, a predicted model, not a curated record
AUUCGCCGCGCUUUCCCAAAGUGCUUCUGGGUGGCGAAGGCGGCGGUGGCGGCGAAGGCGGUGGUGGCGCAGCGGUAGCUGAGAUUGCCUGAGGCCCUGCCCGUGCACAGGGUUUGGAAUGCAUCCCAGGGCCAUUUGCCUGGCAAGAAGGUGGUUGCAACCAAGAUGCCUGUGUUCAUGUCAUUCUGGAUUCUUGCAGCUUUUCGGUCAUUUCUCAAGCAACUUAGUCCCACCAUGGAUCAAGUCAUGAUACGUAAAAUAAUGCUGCAUUUUCAAUCGAUGGUGAUUCAGAGUCAGUGAAAUCCAGUAUUAACAGUAACAACACAACAAUGAUAAUAAUAGCUACCAUUUAUAGCUGCCUCCAAGGAUCCAGGCACUUUGCUGACGUCAUUUCCUUUCAUUAUUAUCCUCACAGCCCUAGAAGGUAAGCAUUUUAUCCUCAUUUUGAAGACAGGAAAUUGAGGCUCAGAGAGGUCAGGCAACUUUCUCAAUUUGGUUUUCUUUUUCCUUUCACAGUAGUGAGGAUGGAACCCAGGGCCUUAUGCGUCUCGUCUCGGGCCAGUGCUCUACCACUGUGCCACACCAUCAGCCCCUGGGGUCGGUUCUGUGCUGGCCCUACCCAGUGCUCACACGUGUUCAAAGUUUGCACAUGGGAGGUCUUUGUGGGGUAAAGCCUGCUGCCAAAGGGGUUCCCCAAACAUGAAUUUCUAGGGUUUUUGUGGACCACUGGGAUGGAGAACAGGUGCUACCUACAGGUCCUUCCUGAACUCAGUGCCUGCUCACCCAGGGAUCUGGUCUCUGUGGAGAGUGGAGUGGGGAUAAAUAAUUAUGAAAAUUCAGGGAAAGCACAGACUCCUUCCCUCUCUAGCUCUGGGAGAAUUCUCUCUUCUUCUGGGAACCCCUGAGGAGCAACACCAGCUUCCAACCCUUACACCUCCUCCUUAACUACACCCUACAUCUGCUUGCUUUCCUCCCUACCCCCCAACACUCCACCCCACCCAGUUUGAUGGUUCAAAGAGUCUUCCACUGAUCUUGCAGCCCAUUCUAGAUUCCCCUCACAGACUUGGGGUAAAAAUAGCCUGUGAGGGCUGAGGGUAUACCUCAGUGGUAGAGCCCUUGGUCAGCAUGCAGAAGACUCCAGGUUCCAUUCCCAGCAGUGCAAAAAACAGGACUGAGCAAGUUGUCUGACUGCGCUCUCUGGCCUCUAUUUUUUUUUCUUCAGGACUGGUGGCAUUCUCUACCUUUCUUUGUUUUGUUUUUUUGUUUUUGAGACAGGGUCUCACUAUGUAGCUCAGGAUGGUCUUGAACUCACUAUGUAGCCCAGACUGGCCCCAAACUCUCAGGCAUGGAAUGUUCUAUCUCUGAGCCACAUUUUAAAACAGGAUCUUGUUAAAUUGCCUGGGCUGGUCUCAAACUUUCAAUCUUCCUGCCUCGGCUUGAGUAGCUGGGAUUACAGGCUGGUGAGACCACACCCAGCCUGAUACCUGAGGUCUUGAAUCCACAAGACUUCAGAAAUGGGAAGGGUAGAGACCUCAAUCCUAGGCUUUGGUAAACAAGAGUUUCUAAUUACUCCCUUGGAAAAAGCUUUAAAUACUAGAAACGGUUUUGAGUUACUUUUUUUUUUUUGGUACCGGGGAUCAAACUUGGGACCUUGUGCUUUCAAGGCAGGCAGCAGCACCACUGAGCUAAAUCCCUGGCCCUUUGAGUUACUCUUUUUCUGGAAAAAAGUCCUGGAGGAGGAAGAGGGAUGACCUAGUGGGAUCCCAUUUGGAAAUCCAUUACAUAUUGUUAUUCCCACUACACAGAUGAGGAAACUGAGGCUGAAGUAUCUUACUUGAGUUCUAGAGCAGUUCUGUUUUGUUAUGAAGUCUUUUUUUUAAACAAGGUCCGACUAUGCACUUCAGGCUGGCCUCGAACUUGCAGCAACCCUCCUGUCUCAGCCCCUUGAGUGCAGGGAUUACAGAUGUGCACCAUCACACCCAGCUCACUAUCUGAUUUCUUGUUCUGUUUGUAUCCUCCUGUAGAAUGCCCAUUUCACCCUAGCCCCUAAAAUAGUGCCUGGUAGUAAAUGUUUGUGGAGAUGCUUGAGCCUGGGAAUUCAAGGCCAGCUUAGACAACAUGCCACAACCAUUUCUGAGAGAGAGAGAGAGAACAAAAUAAAGAAAGAGGCUAUAGGGCUGGGGAUUUAGCUCAGUGGCGCUACACCUGCCUCAAAAGUGCAAGGUCCUAAGUUCUAUCCCGGGUACCGGAGAAAAGCAAAACAAAACAAAACCAGGCUAAAUGACUUAGAGCAUAAAGGAAUGAAUGAAUGAACAAAC